AGUGAGAUUAGAACGAGGGCUGGGACUGGUGAGUGAGGGGGUGGAUCCCAGCCAGGAGGAGUGAGCUGAGGCUUGUGCCACAGAAGAGGGGGCGGAGAGGACGGGCCUCCUGUCUCCUACCAGAGCGGGGCAGCCUCCUGUCUUCUACCGGAGGAGGCUGCCAGGAGUGAGUUCCUGUCUGUGCUCUCCCUGUUGCUUCUCAGCCAGGUGACUUCACUCAGCCCCACGGAACAAAGGCUUUGUGUGUGUGGCGGUGCUGAAGUCUGGACUCACCGUUUCAACCUGUGGAGGGUGGGGGCGAGGGCGGGGGGCACUUGCAACCCUUUUGUGUCAAGUUUCUGUAACCUACUGCAGUGUAAAGGUGUUCAGAAUGAAUUUCAGCAGAUAAUGAGUUAGCAGGAGGAAUAAACAUUCUCUACCACCACUUGAAUCCUCCCCUUACUCCAACAUGUUGAUCCUGAUCCCAGGAACCAGAAUAAGAGAGUCCCUUCUCCUGAGGCAAAGUGAAUCAUGUUCAGUCCUGAGACAUCACUUAGGAAAGUGGAAAGUGAUUUUUAUGAAGGCAAAACUUGGUGGGGACUGGAGGGGGGACUUGUGCCUGUGAUUGUGUGACCCUGUUCUGUAACUGCGGCCACUUUGAAAAUUGUACUUUGCUGGGGAUCGGCCAGCCGUCACCACCAAAUUUUGAUUGUACCCUUUCUCCCACUCUUUAAUCUGCCCUGUGCUUGGUCUGGGA
Bos taurus (domestic cattle) is the source of this 736-nucleotide long non-coding RNA. NCBI's taxonomy places the organism in Eukaryota, Metazoa, Chordata, Mammalia, Artiodactyla, Bovidae. The record is from Ensembl.